GUUUGACAUGCCCCUGCACCAGCCAGAGAUGGCUGUCCCUUCGGGGCGGAGGCACAGGUGCUGCAUGGCUGUCGUCAGCUCGUGCCGUGAGGUGUUGGGUUAAGUCCCGCAACGAGCGCAACCCUUGUCUUCUGUUGCCAUCAGGUCAAGCUGGGCACUCUGAAGAGACUGCCGGUGACAAACCGGAGGAAGGUGGGGAUGACGUCAAGUCAGCAUGGCCUUUAUGUCUGGGGCCACACACGUGCUACAAUGGCAGGUACAAACCGUCGCGAGACCGCAAGGUGGAGCUAAUCGGAGAAAGCCUGUCUCAGUUCGGAUUGUCGGCUGCAACUCGCCGGCAUGAAGUUGGAAUCGCUAGUAAUCGCGGAUCAGCACGCCGCGGUGAAUACGUUCCCGGGUCUUGUACACACCG
Molecule: ribosomal RNA, 412 nt
Filed under: uncultured bacterium
Lineage: Bacteria
Description: bacterial SSU rRNA
Rfam family: Bacterial small subunit ribosomal RNA
Source: RNAcentral